This 179-nucleotide microRNA precursor is filed under the name Oryza punctata. Its description in RNAcentral is "MIR812 microRNA precursor family". It matches the Rfam family "MIR812 microRNA precursor family". The record is from Rfam by way of RNAcentral. Lineage: Eukaryota; Viridiplantae; Streptophyta; Magnoliopsida; Poales; Poaceae.
AAUAAGUACAGUUUUUCAUUGUUCAUGUUCAACGUUUGACUGUCUGUUUUAUUUAAAAAAUUAUGAUUAGUAUUUUUGUUGUUAUUAGAUGAUAAAAUAUAAAUAGUAAUUUUUUUAAUAUUUUUUUAUAAAAUUUUCAAAUAAGAUGGAUGGUCAAACGUUGGACAUGAAAACUCACG